GACGAACGCUGGCGGCGUGCUUAACACAUGCAAGUCGAACGAUGAAGCUGGAGCUUGCUCCGGUGGAUUAGUGGCGAACGGGUGAGUAACACGUGAGUAAUCUGCCCUUGACUCUGGGAUAACUGCGGGAAACUGUAGCUAAUACCGGAUACGACACCUUCGGGCAUCCGAUGGGUGUGGAAAGAAUUUCGGUCAAGGAUGAACUCGCGGCCUAUCAGCUAGUUGGGGAGGUAAUGGCUCACCAAGGCGACGACGGGUAGCCGGCCUGAGAGGGUGACCGGCCACACUGGGACUGAGACACGGCGCAGACUCCUACGGGAGGCAGCAGUGGGGAAUAUUGCACAAUGGGCGAAAGCCUGAUGCAGCAACGCCGCGUGUGGGAUGAAGGCCUUCGGGUUGUAAACCUCUUUUAGUUGGGAAGAAGCGAAAGUGACGGUACCAACAGAAAAAGCACCGGCUAACUACGUGCCAGCCGCCGCCGUAA
RNAcentral lists this ribosomal RNA (484 nucleotides) under uncultured bacterium. RNAcentral describes it as "partial 16S ribosomal RNA". It matches the Rfam family "Bacterial small subunit ribosomal RNA", at positions 28 to 523 of the family's 1533-position model. The record is from RNAcentral.